This 222-nucleotide long non-coding RNA is filed under the name Ananas comosus (pineapple). RNAcentral describes it as "long non-coding RNA (ACOM_LNC042715)". Lineage: Eukaryota; Viridiplantae; Streptophyta; Magnoliopsida; Poales; Bromeliaceae. The record is from RNAcentral.
UUCCACACACCAAAUGCAUCAUUUAUUGUGUUAUAAAAUUCCAUCAUUAUUACCGAUCAUUCCUACAGCAAGUGGCAAAAUACUUAGUGGUUGAUAUCCGAUACCCAAGUUCAAACUCUAAUUGAUUCAUAUUUUUAGCUAAAUUUAUUUCUAAAUAAAAUAAACGAAGCAAGUAGCGUGCUACCUAUCUCUCAAAAAAAAAAAAAAUUUCCAUUAUUAUUU